Molecule: ribosomal RNA, 346 nt
Filed under: uncultured bacterium
Lineage: Bacteria
Description: bacterial SSU rRNA
Rfam family: Bacterial small subunit ribosomal RNA
Source: RNAcentral
GGGCCCGCACAAGCGGUGGAGCAUGUGGUUUAAUUCGAUGAUACGCGAGGAACCUUACCAGGGUUUAAAUGCAGAACGACAGGGGUGGAAACACCCCUUCUUCGGACGGACUGCAAGGUGCUGCAUGGUUGUCGUCAGCUCGUGCCGUGAGGUGUUAGGUUAAGUCCUGCAACGAGCGCAACCCCUAUUCUUAGUUGCCAGCGGUUCGGCCGGGGACUCUAAGAAGACUGCCAGCGCAAGCUGAGAGGAAGGUGGGGAUGACGUCAAAUCAUCACGGCCCUUACGUCCUGGGCUACACACGUGCUACAAUGGUACAGACAGAGGGCAGCCACCUGGCGACAGGGAG